GAUGAACGCUGGCGGCGUGCCUAAUACAUGCAAGUCGAGCGAACGGACGAGAAGCUUGCUCCUCUGAUGUUAGCGGCGGACGGGUGAGUAACACGUGGAUAACCUACCUAUAAGACUGGGAUAACUUCGGGAAACCGGAGCUAAUACCGGAUAAUAUUUUGAACCGCAGGGUUCAAAAGUGAAAGACGGUUUUGCUGUCACUUAUAGAUGGAUCCGCGCUGCAUUAGCUAGUUGGUAAGGUAACGGCUUACCAAGGCAACGAUGCGUAGCCGACCUGAGAGGGUGAUCGGCCACACUGGAACUGAGACACGGUCCAGACUCCUACGGGAGGCAGCAGUAGGGAAUCUUCCGCAAUGGGCGAAAGCCUGACGGAGCAACGCCGCGUGAGUGGUGAAGGUCUUCGGAUCGUAAAACUCUGUCAUUAGGGAAGAACAUAUGUGUAAGUAACUGUGCACGUCUUGACGGUACCUAAUCAGAAAGCCACGGCUAACUACGUG
This 497-nucleotide ribosomal RNA is filed under the name uncultured bacterium. RNAcentral describes it as "partial 16S ribosomal RNA". It matches the Rfam family "Bacterial small subunit ribosomal RNA", at positions 28 to 507 of the family's 1533-position model. The record is from RNAcentral.